RNAcentral lists this ribosomal RNA (501 nucleotides) under uncultured bacterium. Its description in RNAcentral is "bacterial SSU rRNA". It matches the Rfam family "Bacterial small subunit ribosomal RNA", at positions 16 to 509 of the family's 1533-position model. The record is from RNAcentral.
AUCCUGGCUCAGGAUGAACGCUAGCUACAGGCUUAACACAUGCAAGUCGAGGGGCAGCAUGAACUUAGCUUGCUAAGUUUGAUGGCGACCGGCGCACGGGUGAGUAACGCGUAUCCAACCUGCCCUUUAGUAGGGAAUAGCCCGUAGAAAUGCGGAUUAAUGCCCUAUGUUAUUCGUUGAGGACAUCUGAUGUGAAUCAAAGACUUUGUCGCUAAGGGAUGGGGAUGCGUCUGAUUAGGUAGUCGGCGGGGUAACGGCCCACCGAGCCUUCGAUCAGUAGGGGUUCUGAGAGGAAGGUCCCCACAUUGGAACUGAGACACGGUCCAAACUCCUACGGGAGGCAGCAGUGAGGAAUAUUGGUCAAUGGCCGCGAGGCUGAACCAGCCAAGUAGCGUGCAGGAUGACGGCCCUACGGGUUGUAAACUGCUUUUGCGGGGAAUAAAGUGCGGCACGCGUGCCGUUUGUAUGUACCCGAGAAUAAGGACCGGCUAAUUCCGUGCC